This 253-nucleotide ribosomal RNA is filed under the name uncultured bacterium. RNAcentral's name for it is "partial 16S ribosomal RNA". It matches the Rfam family "Bacterial small subunit ribosomal RNA", at positions 524 to 776 of the family's 1533-position model. The record is from RNAcentral.
UACGAAGGGUGCAAGCGUUGUUCGGAUUUACUGGGCGUAAAGCGUCCGUAGGUGGUUUGUUAAGUCAGAGGUGAAAUCCCGGGGCCCAACCCCGGAACUGCCUUUGAUACUGGCAGGCUGGAGCGUGAUAGAGGAAGAUGGAACAUCUGGUGUAGGGGUGAAAUCCGUAGAUAUCAGAUAGAACACCAAUGGCGAAGGCAGUCUUCUGGAUCAUCGCUGACACUGAGGGACGAAAGCGUGGGUAGCAAACAGA